GACGAACGCUGGCGGCGUGCUUAACACAUGCCAGUCGAACGGAAAGGCCCUGCUUUGCUGGGGUGCUCGAGUGGCGAACGGGUGAGUAACACGUGAGUAACCUUCCCUUGGCUUGGGGAUAACUGCAGGAAACUGGGUCUAAUACCGGAUAGGAGCUCCUGCUGCAUGGUGGGGGUUGGAAAGUUUCGGCUGUUGGGUAUGGACUCGCGGCUUAUCAUCUUGUGGGUGGGGUAGUGGCUUACCAAGGCUGUGACGGGUAGCCGGCCUGAGAGGGUGACCGGCGACAAUGGGACUGCGAUACGGAGCAGACUCGUACGGGAGGCAGCAGUGGAGAGUCUUGUACAGUGAGCGGAAGCCUGAUGAAGAAACGCUGCGUGUGGGAUGAAGGCCUUCGGGUUGUAAAACCCCUUCGCCUGUGACGAAGCGUGAGUGACGGUAAUGGGUAAAGAAGCACCGGCUAACUACGUG
RNAcentral lists this ribosomal RNA (468 nucleotides) under uncultured bacterium. RNAcentral's name for it is "partial 16S ribosomal RNA". It matches the Rfam family "Bacterial small subunit ribosomal RNA", at positions 28 to 507 of the family's 1533-position model. The record is from RNAcentral.